Non-coding RNA from Triticum urartu, 671 nucleotides. The record is from RefSeq and is a predicted model, not a curated record. NCBI's taxonomy places the organism in Eukaryota, Viridiplantae, Streptophyta, Magnoliopsida, Poales, Poaceae.
UUCAGCGAGCAUCAGGUAACCAAAACAGCGAGCGUGAUUGUGGGUUAAUUCUCUAUGGAUCCAAAAACAUGCAGAUUGAUUAAGUUUGUGGAUGUCAUUGUUCGUGCCUUUCUAUCAAACCAAAAGUGAUGGCGUGUACGUCAAAAUAACCGGUCGCUUGCGUGCCGAGCUCGGCGUGCCCGUAGUUGCAGCCUAUUCAUUGAGUGUGGUAACAAAUUUCAACGAUAUCACUCAUCAUUUCCUGGACUGCAUCUAUGUUCAUCUGAUGAUGCGAAGCGACCAUGCUAAACGCGUCGUGCACUCUCUUGCUCUCGUCCCAUUUGCCGCAUCCGCACGCUGGCUAGCACUGCACGCCGUGUCCCAGAGGUUGAUUAAAAUCAGAUCAAAUCGUGUAGUGUGUGUAGAGUCCAGAGUAGCAGGUUGCUCACCAUUCUUUUUUGUGAUCCAUGCCAGCGUCGUCUGAGUGUGAAGGCCGAGGAAGAAAAUCUCACUGAUAUGAUAAUGGGAUUUCUGGACCAGCCGGGGAUCAGCGCACUCGAGCAUGGAGUUAGUGUGAACCUGGUGGUGGAACGUCUUGGUAUACCAGAAUCAGAAGCAAGAUCGACGCUCGACAAGCUUGCUGAUCUCGGAUGCGUGUUACAGACAAUUGACGAUGACCACUUCAAAUCUUG